RNAcentral lists this ribosomal RNA (167 nucleotides) under Clostridioides difficile. RNAcentral's name for it is "partial 16S ribosomal RNA". It matches the Rfam family "Bacterial small subunit ribosomal RNA", at positions 1376 to 1533 of the family's 1533-position model. Lineage: Bacteria; Bacillati; Bacillota; Clostridia; Peptostreptococcales; Peptostreptococcaceae. The record is from RNAcentral.
GGGUCUUGUACACACCGCCCGUCACACCACGGGAGUUGGAGACGCCCGAAGCCGAUUAUCUAACCUUUUGGAAGAAGUCGUCGAAGGUGGAAUCAAUAACUGGGGUGAAGUCGUAACAAGGUAGCCGGAUCGGAAGGUGCGGCUGGAUCACCUCCUUUCUAAGGAGA